This is a long non-coding RNA of Armigeres subalbatus, 493 nucleotides long. RefSeq lists it as uncharacterized. The transcript is spliced from 3 exons. The record is from RefSeq and is a predicted model, not a curated record. NCBI's taxonomy places the organism in Eukaryota, Metazoa, Arthropoda, Insecta, Diptera, Culicidae.
AUCGAUUAUAAAAGUUCUGGUUCACUCGAACCAAAUUAAAUCGUGUUAGUUAUUUUUUAUCAAUUUGUUUUUCGUUUCUUGUACCGCUAGAAAAGCCGGAGUUUGUUCCGGUUUGCGUGAAAAUAGCGAUUGCAGUUCAACGUAUUCUAUUUACUUCAUACUCAUUGUAUCUAUCGGAAAUGAAAUUGGUCGAUUUCGUAUUCUUUGUGGAUGCGGCUUCCGGAUACCCAGCUGAAAGACAAAGGCAAUCAAAAGGAGUUCUCCAUGAAGGUAGCUCAUAUUGUUCGCCGGUUUUAUGUGAAAAAGACGAGGAAAAUGAUAAAUAAAAUAUCUUAUACAGUGAACGUUCGCUAAUUGGGGUUUUUCUAGUUGGGGCGCUUUUUAGUUGGGGGUUCGCUAAUUGGGGCGAAACCCAAUUAAAAAGCAGCUAAACGUCAGAAUGUGAUGUCAAAAACGCGUUGACGUUUUGUUUCCGUGUUUGGCGGGAUCGAUA